Pan paniscus (pygmy chimpanzee) is the source of this 606-nucleotide long non-coding RNA. The record is from Ensembl. NCBI's taxonomy places the organism in Eukaryota, Metazoa, Chordata, Mammalia, Primates, Hominidae.
GGGGGUUUCGUCCAGGCCCGGCAGGCUUGGGCCGGGAGACCCGACGGCCGGCAGGGUCCGGACUGGGAGAGGCCGCCGCCGCCAUCAGUCACCGAGUUCUGAGAAUGCAUUAGCUGCAAGAACUAGAACUUCUAGCAGUUCAGUUAACAAGAUAUUCCAGUCACCAGGAGUCAACAAGGCUCAACAGACAGUGUUAACAAAACAUGGUUACUGAGCAAGAGACACCAUCUGAGAAACAAGGUAUGAGUAAACAAUCAGAGGAAAAUUGGAAACUGACUACUUAAGAGAAAGGAACAGGGAGAUGAAAGCAAGGACAAAGCUGUGGCUAGAAAUGAAGAUAAUUUUAAUUCCUCUCUACCCCUACGAGACAAAAUUUCCAUGCCACGUACACUUGAUAUUUCAUCAUAGUGAAUGAGAUUAUUGUGCUAUUGUCUUUCUUCCACUUACGUACUCUAAAAUACUUCUUUAUAUCUAAGUAAAUGAGACUUCUUGAAUGUGCCGGCAUAUAUUUAAUAAAAAAUGCAAAAAUGAAUUAUGAAUCCUAACUUGUUCUUUGCAUUCUCAGUAUAUGACAAAAUCCUCUUUGAAAAAUUAUUAUGAGCAGAC